AGUGAACGCUGGCGGUAGGCCUAACACAUGCAAGUCGAACGGCAGCACAGUAAGAGCUUGCUCUUACGGGUGGCGAGUGGCGGACGGGUGAGGAAUACAUCGGAAUCUACUUUUUCGUGGGGGAUAACGUAGGGAAACUUACGCUAAUACCGCAUACGACCUACGGGUGAAAGCAGGGGAUCUUCGGACCUUGCGCGAUUGAAUGAGCCGAUGUCGGAUUAGCUAGUUGGCGGGGUAAAGGCCCACCAAGGCGACGAUCCGUAGCUGGUCUGAGAGGAUGAUCAGCCACACUGGAACUGAGACAGGGUCCAGACUCCUACGGGAGGCAGCAGUGGGGAAUAUUGGACAAUGGGCGCAAGCCUGAUCCAGCCAUACCGCGUGAGUGAAGAAGGCCUUCGGGUUGUAAAGCCCUUUUGUUGGGAAAGUAAAGCAGCAGGUUAAUACCCCGCUGUUCUGACGGUACCCAAAGAAUAAGCACCGGCUAACUUCGUG
RNAcentral lists this ribosomal RNA (492 nucleotides) under uncultured bacterium. RNAcentral's name for it is "partial 16S ribosomal RNA". It matches the Rfam family "Bacterial small subunit ribosomal RNA", at positions 29 to 507 of the family's 1533-position model. The record is from RNAcentral.